This 236-nucleotide ribosomal RNA is filed under the name uncultured bacterium. RNAcentral's name for it is "partial 16S ribosomal RNA". It matches the Rfam family "Bacterial small subunit ribosomal RNA", at positions 118 to 350 of the family's 1533-position model. The record is from RNAcentral.
AGAGUAACCUUGCCCUUCAACUUACGGGAUAAACUACCGGGGAAACCGGGGCUAAUACUGGAUAUGACCUGGUGCCGCAUGGUGCUGGGUGGAAAGUUUUUCGGGGGGGGAUGGACUCGCGGCCUAUCAGCUUGUUGGUGAGGUAGUGGCUUACCAAGGCGACGACGGGUAGCCGGCCUGAGAGGGCGAUCGGCCACACUGGGACUGAGACACGGCCCAGACUCCUACGGGAGGCA